CAGGCUUGGAGUACACACUCAAGGUGCUGACAUAGAUGCUGUUUGUGUUGCUCCUAGACAUGUAGAAAGAUCGGAUUUUUUUCAGUUGUUCUUUGAAAAACUGAAACAUCAGGAGGAAAUAAAAAACCUAACAUGGCUGUACAUCACGUAAGAAUCUUUGUGGUCCGCUUCUCCCCUGCCCUUGGUUUGAGAAUGAGUUGGCUGUAUCAAAAAGCAAGGCUGUCCCUGGGAGCCCUGCUUUCAUCUCCGGUGCAGUAAGGGGCCUGGACAUGCACGCCGGGGGAGGAGGGGGCAGCCUGAAAACUCAGGAAGGUGACGGUGAUGUGGAAAGGCUCCUGUCAGUCCCUUGGCCGUGCUGUUCCUCUGGAUAGACUUUAGGAGCUCUCGUUCAUCCUCCUCUGGCCACGUUCCUCUCUGGCUCCUCAGCCUGAGCCUUUGCGGCCGGGAUGCACACUGUCAGCUUUCCAGAAAGUUCACAGGGCUGUGCUGGGAACGUACAG
Long non-coding RNA from Tyto alba (common barn owl), 500 nucleotides. RefSeq lists it as uncharacterized. NCBI's taxonomy places the organism in Eukaryota, Metazoa, Chordata, Aves, Strigiformes, Tytonidae. The record is from RefSeq and is a predicted model, not a curated record. The transcript is spliced from 3 exons.